GAUGAACGCUGGCGGCGUGCCUAAUACAUGCAAGUCGAGCGAACGGACGAGAAGCUUGCUUCUCUGAUGUUAGCGGCGGACGGGUGAGUAACACGUGGAUAACCUACUUAUAAUACUGGGAUAACUUCGGGAAACCGGAUCUAAUACCGGAUAAUAUUUUGAACCGCAUGGUUCAAAAGUGAAAGACGGUCUUGGUGUCACUUAUAGAUGGUUCCGCGCUGCAUUAGCUAGUUGGUAAGGUAACGGCUUACCAAGGCAACGAUGCAUAGCCGACCUGAUGGGGGGAUCGGCAACACGGAAACUGAGACCCGGCCCAGACUCCUAGGGGAGGCAGCAGGGGGGAAUCUGGCGAAAGGGGCGAAAGCUUGACGAAGCAACGCGGGGGGAGUGAUGAAGGUCUUCGGUUCGUAAAACGCUGUUAUGGGGGAAAAACAUAUGUGUAUGUAACUGUGCACAUCUGGAGGGUACCUAAGAAGAAGGCCAGGGCUAAUUCCUG
This 496-nucleotide ribosomal RNA is filed under the name uncultured bacterium. Its description in RNAcentral is "partial 16S ribosomal RNA". It matches the Rfam family "Bacterial small subunit ribosomal RNA", at positions 28 to 506 of the family's 1533-position model. The record is from RNAcentral.